GCUGGUUUAGGCUCCAAAAUUUGUCUAGAUCAGCAGCUGUACUUCAAAGCAGCACAUCUCAGUACAGCAUUAGACUUUGAAGUGCUUGUGGUCCAGAUGCCAGCGCUUUUAAAGGAGCCGAUGAAUCAACUGCACUUUGUUUUUUGUCUGCUGAAACAGCUAUGCUUUUUCUCAUAUACUAUAGUAAUGUGUGUGGUCUUCUGUAUGGUAUCUAUCAAUAAAAACAUAAUGCUAACACAAAAGCUCUUUAUUGCUACAUUUUCUAAAAAGGAACAGAUCAUCACCAUUUUAUUACACUGAUUUGCAGUGAUCUCAGCCAAUUUCCAGUGCAAACUAUUCAGACAAGACUCAAGGAAGGAUAUUUUGUUGAUUAUAGAACUAACCAUGUUUCUUUUUUUUUUUAAAUUGUAUUAUCAUUAUCGUGAGAUGCAAUUGUCCUAAAAAGAACAAGGAUGAAAAUGGUUUUGUUCUAGAAGAUGAGGAAAAAGCAGUGUUGGGCAUGCUGAGUUCCCAUGCAAGUUACAAGCAAGUCUGUCAUUAGCCUGAAAGGUCAGUUUUUGCAUGGAAAGAGGUUUAUGAGGUGCUGAAUUCCUCCAUACACAAUUGACCUGAUUGGACAACACUUAUGAGUUUCAGGGAAGCAGGCUGGGAUAACUACAAGGCAACUCUCAAUUGUCUUUGAAAGUUGUUCAUGAUUUGGGGAGAUUCCUGGGGACUGGAAGAGAGCAGACAUCACUCCUAUCUUCAAGAAUGCAACACUGAAAGCUCAACAUUCAAGCUGCAAUUGCUAAUCCUGACACAGGCUCUGCAAGUACUUUGAAAAGAAGCAUGAAAGAAAGCACUUUAAAAAAAAAGUUGGUUGAAGAAUAUCCAUGAUGG
RNAcentral lists this long non-coding RNA (879 nucleotides) under Gallus gallus (chicken). RNAcentral describes it as "lncRNA (ENSGALG00010006827.1)". The record is from RNAcentral. Lineage: Eukaryota; Metazoa; Chordata; Aves; Galliformes; Phasianidae.